AUGCUAGCUUUGGCAGCACAUAUACUAAAAUUGGAAUGAUACGAAGAAGAUUAGCAUGGCCACUGUGCAAGGAUAACAAGCAAAUUCAUGAAGAAUUCCAUAUUUUC
Molecule: small nuclear RNA, 107 nt
Filed under: Choloepus hoffmanni (Hoffmann's two-fingered sloth)
Lineage: Eukaryota; Metazoa; Chordata; Mammalia; Pilosa; Megalonychidae
Source: RNAcentral